Molecule: ribosomal RNA, 496 nt
Filed under: uncultured delta proteobacterium
Lineage: Bacteria; Deltaproteobacteria
Description: bacterial SSU rRNA
Rfam family: Bacterial small subunit ribosomal RNA
Source: RNAcentral
AACGAGAAAACUCCGGGCUUGCUCGGAGGAGUAAAGUGGCGCACGGGUGAGUAACGCGUGGGUAACCUGCCCCUGAAUCUGGGAUAACUUCGCGAAAGCGUUGCUAAUACCGGAUAUUGUCCCUUUUGCUGUGGCUAGAGGGAUGAAAGGUGACCUAUUCAUGAAAGUUGCCGUUUAGGGAGGGGCUCGCGUACCAUUAGCUUGUUGGUGGGGUAAUGGCCUACCAAGGCUGCGAUGGUUAGCUGGUCUGAGAGGAUGAUCAGCCACACUGGAACUGAAACACGGUCCAGACUCCUACGGGAGGCAGCAGUGAGGAAUUUUGCGCAAUGGGGGAAACCCUGACGCAGCAACGCCGCGUGAGUGAAGAAGGCUCUCGGGUCGUAAAGCUCUGUCAAGUGGGAAAAAGGACUUUCGGUCAAUAGCCGGAAGGAUUGAUGGUACCACUAGAGGAAGCACCGGCUAACUCCGUGCCAGCAGCCGCGGUAAUACGAAGGGC